CCCCCUUCACUCUCUCUCUCUCCUGACCUCCUGACGCCACGAGAAGAAAGUGCUUGCUUCCCCUUCACUUUCCAUCAUGACUUUAAGUUUCCAGAGGUCUCACAGUCAUGCAUCCUGUUAAGCCUGUGGAACUCACUUUGGCAGCCGAGAUGGGCAGAUUACCUGACGUCAGGAGUUCAAGACCAGCCUGGCCAUUUUGCUUUUGAAAUUGUGCUGAUUUGGAUUGGAGUCUACUGGCCUACUCUUCUAGACCAUGGAGAGAAUACACAAUAUCCUAGAAAACACAGAAACGAAGAGUGUGCAUAGCAUGUUUCUUGAAAUGAAUGACUGAACAAUGAAGCACAGGACAACAUAACAACACAGUAUAACCUCAGGAUGCAUUGAGUCAUUUGGCCCUCACUUGGGCAUGCCUUUGGCUUCGUUCUUGGUGUCUUUUAUUGAAGCUUCCCAGGAACACACCUGUCCUGCCUCUGAUUUGAACCUUCUUGAUUCCCACCUUCAGCAGUGUUCUCUCCCACAACUUCGACAGAGAUUCUCUAAUCAUCCACAAAGGCAUUAAAGCUCCACUCACUUUAUAUUUAUGUCCUUUUCCCUGGAAUGGAAAGAAACCUCUGUGUUGAUUGAGAUCAUUAGAAAUUCCCCCAGAGAGACAUGGACUCAUUGUGUUCUUCCCGUGUGUUAAUAUGGAUUUACCAGAAGCCCCUGGAGAGCUGUGUGUUUAUACGCACAGUUCCUGUUCAAGAAGGGUAACGACCUGCAGUGUUUACAGUGCACAGGCCCUUUGGAAAUGGUCUCCAAGUGACUUUAAAUAAAUUGAAGCGAGUUAGAGGCACACUGUUCCUGACGCGUGCUAUUUCUUCUGGGCAGGCUCCCUGGGGAAGGAUGAAUUGAUGCUGUGUUGAGCUCUCCCUGCACAAAGAAGAAAGUUUUCUGAGGAGGAGCCCCGGAGAAGAGCAGGGGAAAGGGUGAGGAGGGAGGGAGAGAGGAAGGCCUCCUUGGCCACUGAAUGUGUGGGGCUUUUACAAACUGUCCUUUUUAAAACCUACAAUUUCAGGCCUGAAAUUAAAAUUUAGGUACAUCAAGAUGGUGCAGAACAUUAAUGUGGAGGGACAUUUAGAGUAUUUUUAUCAGGGCUUCUUAUAAACUCAGUGUAACCACACAACCAAUUCAGUCUGGUUCAGUGUUGUCUGUAACAAUAUUUAACAAAGUGAUGAGUUGUUUUUCAAUUGCAACAGACCCCCAGGUUGCAAGUCAAGUAACCAGAGCAUGCCCAGGUGAACCAAGCAUGUCAGAUUUGAGACUGUGGAGCUAACCUGAAGGAAAAAGUCGUCCGUAAGCAGCACCUAAGUACUCAGAUCAAGAGGCCAGGCCCAAUUAAGAAGGGAGAGGUGCCCUGUUUUGUUGCAGUAUGAAGUUAAAAGCCAAGGACCCAACACCACAUCUUUGCAUCACCCAAUCAGGUCACACUUCUUUGCAUCUUCCUGUCUUCCUCAUAGCUACUCUCUGCCUGUAAAACCUGUCCCCAGUCCCCAGCUCUGGGAGACAGACUUGAGCACUGCUCCCUGUCUCCUGGCCAAUUAACUUGCAAUAAAGCUUUUUUCCUCCUUAAAAGCCAGUACCAUAUUA
Long non-coding RNA from Rhinopithecus roxellana (golden snub-nosed monkey), 1626 nucleotides. RefSeq lists it as uncharacterized. NCBI's taxonomy places the organism in Eukaryota, Metazoa, Chordata, Mammalia, Primates, Cercopithecidae. The record is from RefSeq and is a predicted model, not a curated record. The transcript is spliced from 3 exons.